UACAGAGGUGGCAAGCGUUGUUCGGAAUUACUGGGCGUAAAGGGCGCGUAGGCGGCCAUCUAAGUCAGACGUGAAAUCCCCCGGCUUAACCUGGGAACUGCGUCUGAUACUGGAAGGCUUGAGUAUGGGAGAGGGAUGUAGAAUUCCAGGUGUAGCGGUGAAAUGCGUAGAUAUCUGGAGGAAUACCGGUGGCGAAGGCGGAUCUCUGGGCCUGUCCUGACGCUGAGGCGCGAAAGCUAGGGGAGCGAACAGG
Molecule: ribosomal RNA, 253 nt
Filed under: uncultured bacterium
Lineage: Bacteria
Description: partial 16S ribosomal RNA
Rfam family: Bacterial small subunit ribosomal RNA
Source: RNAcentral